GAAAAAACGCCGGGGAAGCCCCCGGCGUUUUUUGUUGGGACGGCAAGAGAAAUCAGCGGUCGAAAAUGGAAG
This 72-nucleotide small RNA is filed under the name Paenibacillus sp. P22. RNAcentral describes it as "Termite-leu RNA". Lineage: Bacteria; Bacillati; Bacillota; Bacilli; Caryophanales; Paenibacillaceae. The record is from RNAcentral.